UUAGAGAUAAGGUCUGUUGUAUAUUCUACCCUUUCCAUACUCCACUAAUAAAAUUUUUACUGGGUUGUUAUUGUACGCAUUAGGCUUAUCAUUCUCAAUAGUGCUGAUCUGAAAAUGAUAAGAGGGUGAUCAAAAAGGACCUGCAAUGGAUUUUCAUAGAACCCAAGAUCUAUAUAUAGUUGCUUCUCAAAUUACAAGGAUCAAUAAAGACAGCAGGGAAGGCUACAGCGCAGCUACUCACGUAUACUAUAUAAAACAAAAAAUAAGUUUUUGGCUUUGAGAUAAAUCCUUAUUAGUGAUCAUAAGUGGUUUCAUGGAGGUACAAAUGCCAAUAUAUAGUAUAAGCUAUAAAGGGAUGGAUAUGUAGAGAGCGGCAUAUACAAUUAUUACUAAUUAAUUGUGUCUAUACUCAAAUUGCAAAGUACAAAAAGAGAAACAACAACAAUAAAUUCAGUAGUUUUUCACGGGUGGAAUUUGGGGAGGAUUUAUCCCUGAACUGACAGAGAAGCUGUCUCCGAUAGACCCUCAGCUAAUGAACGACCGAAAAAGAAAAGAAAAUUGCAAUAAAUAUGAAUAACAACAAGAUAAAAUAAAAUCGAAUCCAAGAAUGAAGUCAAACUCUAGAUAGUAAUAACUAUCUAUGAAUAAAAAAUAUCAUACUAAUACCAAUGUUAGCGAACCCAUGUCCAGACCUUAAUGAAUCAAAAAAUGGAGAAAAUGAUGGGCUCAAUCUUUCUUAGAUGGCUUAUCAUACUCAGACAUUUAUCUUUCAUAGCAUGUAUGAAUUAUAUAUGCAACAGAAAUUGUGGGCAUCGUGUCGAAAGACAGAGGCACUUAGGUUCCAUUUUUGGCAUUUUACCAAUUGAAUGCUAAGUGCCA
This 879-nucleotide long non-coding RNA is filed under the name Nicotiana benthamiana. Its description in RNAcentral is "long non-coding RNA (NBEN_LNC034502)". The record is from RNAcentral. Lineage: Eukaryota; Viridiplantae; Streptophyta; Magnoliopsida; Solanales; Solanaceae.